RNAcentral lists this ribosomal RNA (253 nucleotides) under uncultured bacterium. RNAcentral's name for it is "partial 16S ribosomal RNA". It matches the Rfam family "Bacterial small subunit ribosomal RNA", at positions 524 to 776 of the family's 1533-position model. The record is from RNAcentral.
UACGGAGGGAGCUAGCGUUGUUCGGAAUUACUGGGCGUAAAGCGCACGUAGGCGGCUUUGUAAGUUAGAGGUGAAAGCCCGGAGCUCAACUCCGGAACUGCCUUUAAGACUGCAUCGCUUGAAUCCAGGAGAGGUGAGUGGAAUUCCGAGUGUAGAGGUGAAAUUCGUAGAUAUUCGGAAGAACACCAGUAGCGAAGGCGGCUCACUGGACUGGUAUUGACGCUGAGGUGCGAAAGCGUGGGGAGCAAACAGG